AAGCUUUUGUGAAAAGAAUGAAUGUUCAAUGGUACAGCAUGUGGUGAUCGGUGGUCUGAUGGUUAAGGUGUCGGCCGCUCAAUCCGGAGUUCGAGGACUCGAGCCCAACUAGGGUCACGACAAGGCCUUUUCAAAUAACACCUGUACUGAUUGUUCCAGAUACAAUAGCCAACCAGAUGCACCAUGGGUAAAACACGGAAAAACCCAGUGAAAUCUGCACAGUGCAGUCCUGCAGUCAAGACUGCAAAGUCUUUGAAGGGGAAAUAUGAUACAGGAAGCCUGUCUCCAGGAAAAUGGGCAAGAAAACCUCGAUCAGACAAGCAGCUGUUUCUGCCUUGCAUGGACAGUCGCCGCCGGUGUAUAUGAGAGACCUACUAGAGGUGUACGUGCCAACUAGAAAUCUAAGGUCAGCAAGUUCAGCAACAACCACAAAAAAGUCGACUGGUUACCUACGGGGAUAGAAGUUUCAGAGUUGCUGCCGCAAAACUAUGGAACUCUCUCCCUGACAAUCUCAGAAAAGAUUCAUCACUUUAUUCAUUCAAAAGAGCUCUCAAAACACACCUUUUCAAAAUUUUCUACAAUACAUAGAUACCAACUGUGACUGUUCUACCCAUAAUAAAUAUGCCAUCGUUAUUUUUGUGAUACAGAACUACGGCAAGUCAUUCGUCACUGACGAAGGUCUCUUAACUGUACAAUUCAUCAUGUAAUUAACUAAAUUGACAAUUCAUCUUUUAUUUCAUCAUGUCACAUUUUAAGUGUUAUGACGUUCUAUGUGUGUGUUUUUUGCAAGACUUGAGUUUCACUUGAAGUGUGUGGUAUUUCUAUCUAAUACAGUAUAUGAUUGCACCAUUAACCGGGGGAUUGAACCUCUAUAUGCAGCCCGUCUGGGCGUACCAGGUGCUUAAAACACUGUUAUUGGCAAUAGGGGUAAAUCGCCUUCAAGGGCAGGGAUGCGGUUAUGGCUGUUUGUUACAGUAAGGCUGUAAAUAUUAUCAUUGUUCAUUGAUGAUAUUGUUGUAAUGACUAUUAUUUUUAUUAUGUACAUCGCCUUAUGAAAAAGGCGUUUAAUCAAAUUGUUCAGUUUCAGUUUUAUGAUUGCAUAUGUCAUGUUUUGUUAUUUUCCUACAUAUCUGCGAUAUGUCACAUGUUUAGUUGUAAAGCGCCUUUGAACGUAUAUUCCAUAUGAAAAGGGCGCUCAACAAAUCUGGUAUAAUAAUAAUAAUAAUAAUAAUAAUAAUAAUAAUGUCAUUUACAUACAUGUAGAUUAUUUCACUUAAGAUUAAUAAAAAUAUAACUAUAUUUUAUUUCAACUUUUCUUCAAGUAAAAAUGUUGUACACAUUAGAAAUAUAUAAAGUCUUCUUUACUCUUUACAAAAUAAUGUUGUUGUUUUUUCAUGUAACAACUGAACAAGAACCAACCAUCUAUAACAGAGCAGAAAGUGUUUGUAAAUCAUGCAGUAAUUAAAGGCUACCAUGUCUUCAAAAUAAAACAUCCACAAGUAAAUGAGCCUUUACUUACUGUUGAUAGAGAAUAUGGAAACAUUCAUGAUCAGUUAGUUUGAUUAGUUUGGCUUCCAAAUUUAGAUUGUUAUCCACAAGAACUUCAUGAAAUGCAGACUGAUGAAGCACGUCACCUGAAGUUAAGUAAUGUAGCAGGGCUUCCCAUAGGACAUGUACCAAGAGGUUUGGGUGGAUGUUUUUGUAAAAUUCUUGAUCAAAAUGACCACCUCUUUGCGAAAAUAACAGCAGAACCAACACAAAGUUUCCCUUCUUGACCGGCAUCCAGUAGAAAGGUGGCGAUGCAGUAAUACCUUGUACAUAUGUGAUCAAAACAAAACGUGUUGAUGAAACUGUUUCAGUUCUGAAAACUGCUAUACAGAACAUGAAAGAACGUUCAGUUCUGACUGUAACAGUUGGUUACUGAACAAGUCAUUUACAGUGCCCUCGACAUCAUAUUUUCAAAAGGUGAUAUUAUAUAGUAAUUAUUGAAAUGCUAUAUAGAAUACAUGUAUGUGCCAUUGUUUUGAUAUUAUUCUUUCCCUUGAUAGUCAGUAUUCACAUUUUUAUCAAGUUUCAGUUAUUGAAUUAUAUUAAAAAGUUACUGGGGGAAAUGUUCAUUUUUUUUAAUUGUCCCCAGAACUUUUGGAGAGCACUGUAUCUAUUUCUGUCAGUAUUUAGAGAUUGUUCACUUUAGUAUCUUUCAAAUAAUGUGUUUAUAAUUCCAGUAUGGUUGAACAAAUCAGGAUUAGUAUGUCAUGUGCUGAUAUUUUUAUUUUUAUACAUUUUAUUCAUAUGCUGAUCGAGGUACUGCUGUUUUUGUACAUAAAGUUUUACAUUUUAUCUCAUAUUAUGAUCUCUUUUUCAUAAUGCCAUAAUAUGCCAUAAUAUAUUUUUCUUCUUAAUAUAUGUGAUUAAUAUUUAAUAAACAAGAUAUAUGUC
Mercenaria mercenaria is the source of this 2439-nucleotide long non-coding RNA. RefSeq lists it as uncharacterized. NCBI's taxonomy places the organism in Eukaryota, Metazoa, Mollusca, Bivalvia, Venerida, Veneridae. The transcript is spliced from 4 exons. The record is from RefSeq and is a predicted model, not a curated record.